This is a long non-coding RNA of Neodiprion virginianus, 142 nucleotides long. RefSeq lists it as uncharacterized. The transcript has 3 exons. The record is from RefSeq and is a predicted model, not a curated record. NCBI's taxonomy places the organism in Eukaryota, Metazoa, Arthropoda, Insecta, Hymenoptera, Diprionidae.
UUCGGCACUCACCGUCAUCACCUCAAGAUGUCGAAGUUGAUCGUAAUCCUCGUUAUCGCGAGUGUAUGCAUACACUUGUAUGCAAUAGCCGCUCCUGCGCCAGGUGAUCGCAAAAACGGCGAUGGAAGAUCGGAAGACGCGU